ACUCAAAUGAAUAGACGGGGGCCCGCACAAGCAGCGGAGCGUGUGGUUUAAUUCGACGCAACGCGCAGAACCUUACCAAGGCUUGACAUACACCGGUAAGCCGCAGAAAUGCGGCCCCCCUUCGGGGCCGGUGCACAGAUGCUGCAUGGCUGUCGUCAGCUCGUGCCGUGAGGUGUUGGGUUAAGUCCCGCAACGAGCGCAACCCUCGUCGCUAGUUGAAUUUCUCUAGCGAGACCGCUGCGCGAAACGCAGAGGAAGGUGGGGAUGACGUCAAGUCAGCACGGCUCUUACGUCUUGGGCUACACACACGCUACAAUGGCCGGUACAACGGGUCGCCAAGCCGCGAGGCGGAGCUAAUCCCAUCAAAACCGGCCUCAGUUCAGAUUGCAGGCUGAAACCCGCCUGCAUGAAGGCGGAGUUGCUAGUAACCGCAGGUCAGCACACUGCGGUGAAUACGUUCCCGGGCCUUGCACACACCGCCCGU
This 484-nucleotide ribosomal RNA is filed under the name uncultured bacterium. RNAcentral describes it as "partial 16S ribosomal RNA". It matches the Rfam family "Bacterial small subunit ribosomal RNA", at positions 899 to 1397 of the family's 1533-position model. The record is from RNAcentral.